GAUGAACGCUGGCUACAGGCUUAACACAUGCAAGUCGAGGGGAAACGACGGGGAAGCUUGCUUCCCCGGGCGUCGACCGGCGCACGGGUGAGUAACGCGUAUCCAACCUGCCUCUGACUGAGGGAUAACCCGUCGAAAGUCGGCCUACUACCUCAUGGCAUCGUCUGCGGGCAUCCAACGACGAUUAAAGAUUUCAUCGGUCAGAGAUGGGGAUGCGUCUGAUUAGCUUGUUGGCGGGGUAACGGCCCACCAAGGCGACGAUCAGUAGGGGUUCUGAGAGGAAGGUCCCCCACAUUGGAACUGAGACACAGUCCAAACUCCUACGGGAGGCAGCAGUGAGGAAUAUUGGUCAAUGGGCGAGAGCCUGAACCAGCCAAGUAGCGUGCAGGAUGACGGCCCUAUGGGUUGUAAACUGCUUUUAUGCGGGGAUAAAGUGAGGGACGUGUCCUUCAUUGCAGGUACCGCAUGAAUAAGGACCGGCUAAUUCCGUG
Molecule: ribosomal RNA, 491 nt
Filed under: uncultured bacterium
Lineage: Bacteria
Description: partial 16S ribosomal RNA
Rfam family: Bacterial small subunit ribosomal RNA
Source: RNAcentral